GGGGCCGUAGUGUAACUUGGCUAUCACUCCACCUUGGGGUGGUGGUAAUCGGGGUUCGAAUCCUCGCGGCCCCA
RNAcentral lists this transfer RNA (74 nucleotides) under Nanobdellota archaeon. Its description in RNAcentral is "Nanoarchaeota archaeon tRNA-Pro". It matches the Rfam family "tRNA". Rfam says of the family: Transfer RNA (tRNA) molecules are approximately 80 nucleotides in length. Lineage: Archaea; Nanobdellati; Nanobdellota. RNAcentral also lists the same sequence under 1 other name. The record is from RNAcentral.